GGGAAGGUGGGAGUGUGCAGGCAGGAGAGCUGUGUCUGCUUGGUUGUCAGCUGGAGCGAGUCCGGGCUCAGACCAUCGACAGACCAAGCAGGUGGAGGAGAUGCAGCUCCGCUGGACAAAGCGCUUGCUGUUGCCUCGAGGAGUCCAGAUAUCAUAUUAGGCGAAAUUCCCACUACGGCUGUCAAAAGCGGUGCGCUUGCAGGAAGACCUAAUUGUUUCUGCCUUUCAUUGGAGGGCUGUGCGCUGUUAUUGCCUACCCGUGGCUUCGGCAGGGGAUUGGAAGGGCUCGGACUGCCCAGCUACCGGGAGCUGGCGGAAGAAGGUUUGUUUGUGUUGGAGGCGGCGGGUCACAUUUCAGCGCGUGGUGCGGGGAGUCCGGUCGGGAGGGAAGCGAAAGCACGAAUGGUCAGUGAAGGGGGCGUGCAGCCCGCGGGGGAAUUAGCUCAAAUGGUAGAGCGCUCGCUUAGCAUGCGAGAGGUAGCGGGAUCGAUGCCCGCAUUCUCCAGCGGCCGGGCCGCUCUUUUGAAUUCAGAUCCGUUUUCCUGGAGCAGUGUCGUAAGGAUUAAAUUGAAUUAGUUUGGAGACGCGUUUGCAUAGUAGGAAGUCUUUAAGUUGUUAACGUUGAUCAGAGCUGAGCUUUUUUUUUUUUUUUCAGGUGCAAAUUAUUUUCUUCUCAUGGCUAGAAGGAGACAUUAGAUGAGAGACUGAGUGUAACUUGAAAGUCACGUUAGGAACACGCGUGCCCUGCCCAGCCUACAGCGAUACACUAAUUCUGUGGUGAGCUGAUGAUUUAUGUGGAGAACUACACACUUUUACAUCUUCGCAGAGACAAUUUCAGUAACUUCGCAUCAUUAAAAAGUGAUCAUGAAUGCUCACAUUCAGUGCAGUGGUAAGGGACGGGGAUGGCUAUAUUUUUUUUUCUGUAUGACGGAGUAACAGCGUUAGUUCAGAUGGGUUUGUGAAGAAAUUGUUUCUCAGAGACAAGUGCUCCGGUGUAAUCUCAAACUAACGUUUCUUCUUCUCCCCUUCCGGUUGCCGCGCGAGGUGGCCUGUGCUACUGCUGUGGAUUUUCUACCACAGCCCUGAGACUGUUCAUGGCAGAAAAUCUUUUCCCGCCGCGGCGCUGCGGCCGAUCAAAACACUGGAGAAUGCGGGCAUCGAUCCCGCUACCUCUCGCAUGCUAAGCGAGCGCUCUACCAUUUGAGCUAAUUCCCCCUGCCGCGGGUACUGCGGGGCCACUGCACUCGUGCUGGAUCCCCUCUUGGCCGCUUCGGCUGCAGCUACUGUGUGCGGUCGCUCUCUCUAACUGAGCCACCUGUGAAUUUACAUGGAAAACCCGGUGGCUGAAAAGCCAGGCUAUGCACUUGACGUAUGAAGAGCAUUUUCUCCUUGGAUAAAACAGCUCGUUUUCCUGAGAACGCACCCUUCAGUGUUUAUUCAAGGAGAGAGAACUCUUGUUCUUACAUCUCUUGCAGUGCAAAUACAAAAAGACUUGUAAAUCUAGAAAGACUACUCUUAGAAGUCACCCAAGCACAGUGAGAUUUUUCUUCUCUUUUUUUUUUCAAGUCUUUUAGUUCCUUUUCCAACUUUAUUUUCUAAUUAAACAUACUUAAAUGAUAAGUACAAUGGUUUAAAAGUUCAUGUUUAGAUUCUGGAGAGGAAAAAUUCAUUCAUGUAUUUUUAUGUUAUAAAUUAGAAAUUAUUUGUAUUUCCACCUUUAUUUAUUUACUUUAAUAAUUGUUUCCAAAUAGUAUUGCAUCUUAAAUAUAUGGGGUUACUAAGCACAUUUUUUAAAUAGAAAAAUUCACCUGUAGUCAUACUAACUGACUUUGCAAUGGGAAGCACAUUGCUUAACCUCUGUUCACAGGCUAUUAAAUCAGAGAAUGCUUUCUGGAUUUCAAGCAGGAAAAUGUAGUUUACAGAGAGAGUGGAUACACUAACAUGCUGUUUAAAUGCAGAGAACUAAAUCCUGCUAGUAAACUAAAGUGUGUGCAGUAAUCCGACAAUACAUGUACUGGUGGUUUUCUGUGAAGGAUUUAGGCAGCACUGGAUGGCAGCAACCAGUCAAAACAAAAGAAAUUUCAAAAUUGAGCAUCAGCAAGUUACAACUUCUCUAGGUAAGGUAGUACUCCAAAUUGUUACAAUCCAGAUUCAGGUCAAGAUGCGGAACUACAACUACAGUUGCUGCUAACAUUCUCUUAAGAUUCAAAUAUUCUCCUGCCUGACUUCAGGCUCUGGACAAUAAUAAUAAAAAAUGAUCCUUAACACUUCUUGCAUUAUAUUGGAGAUGAUUUUAUCUACCUCGCUUGAGUAGACUUGAGGGGGAAAGCAAAUAUACAAAAGCAGUUUCAGUCCUUCUCAGAGGCAUUUGUGUGUCUUAGGCUCAGUGAUGGCCUCCUGCACGCCUGUGGCCAGGAUCUCUCCCAUAUCCUGUUUUCAUGAAGUUCAGCUCUAUAAAGAGUUUUCUUUAUCAACCCUGUGCAGUUUGAGUCAUUAUGAAAAAGGCAGGUUACCUCUCCCUGUUUUUCACCACAAUAUCUCACUCUCAUCUCACUCUGCCACUGAAGACUUCACCCAUUUGGCUCACAGAAAAACAGUUUAUUUAAUGCCCAAGCCAGGUAAGAGUGAGGCAAGAUCUCUGCACUAUUUUCAAUUAUUAAAACAGGUAUUUUGUAUAAUUGGCAGCAUUGUUUUGUGAUCAUUAAUUAGUUGUGAGUGUUGCUAAGUUUUCAUGUAAGAUGGCAAGUAAAAUGUUCUAAUUGCUUCACCUGAUUGGGAAAACUUCCUUAUCUAUGUCUGAAAAAUAGUCUGACCUUCUUAGUUCCAUUUAAAAAAAGAGGGUGUUUCAGUUUUGAAGGCUUUGUAUCCGCAUACUUUCAUUUUAACACAGAUCACUUCAUCUUCUUGUCAAUAGUAAUGGAAACUGAUACAAGUUAAUUUCAUCAGGCUUCAGUUUUGCUUUCUAGAUGGUCUCCCGAGGGGCCAUCAGGGCAAAUGUGAGUUUAUUAUCCUCAAGCUGCUCCACUGUGUCGUCUGUGAUGUGAUUACCUUGCGUGUAGAAGGACAAAUUUAGCGUGUGGCAGGUGGCACACUGAGUGUGACUGAGAGGCUGCAGGGCACGAGUUUGUCUCGCACGUUAGCGUCAAGUGCCUUAUCACAUUACUCCGCCUUAUCACGUUAGUUUUUUUGUCAUCUGGGGCAAAACCAUCGGCGGCUCCAGGUCAGGCAGUAGUUAAAUGUUCUGAGCGGCUGUCCGGGGGUCACUCCCCGCGGUGAAAAAGACGAGUAAAGGUGAAAAGCACAGUUUAGACUUAGAGGUACUAAAGUCUAAAGUUACAGGAUGUCGAAUGCGGGUGUGCGGGGAAUUAGCUCAAAUGGUAGAGCGCUCGCUUAGCAUGCGAGAGGUAGCGGGAUCGAUGCCCGCAUUCUCCACUGUGGUUUUUGCUCCUCGCGGGAGUAAUACUUCCCUGCGAGUAUUUGAGAAAAUACUCAGUCUGACGCGAACAGCGAGAAGAGGAACUGCCACAACGCUCUUCCUUUCGUGAGUACAAAUAACGGGGUGUUUUUUAUUAUUACAUACACACAGCUGGAAAACGUGUCUGUUCCAGUUUGCCUUGUUUCUUGCUGCUUGAUUUGGAAAUGCUAAAUAAAGUACUACAAGCGA
Long non-coding RNA from Prinia subflava (tawny-flanked prinia), 3664 nucleotides. RefSeq lists it as uncharacterized. Lineage: Eukaryota; Metazoa; Chordata; Aves; Passeriformes; Cisticolidae. The transcript has 2 exons. The record is from RefSeq and is a predicted model, not a curated record.